UGUGUGUGUGUGUGACAGAGAGAGAGAGAGAGAGAGAAAUUAGUUGCCUAAUGAAUUUCUGGUUCCUGAGACCCAGUUUAGAUACCCUGCAGUGUGUUUCCACUAUAUUCUCCUAUUAAUAAUUCCUUUUUCACUUGGACAUCUUUGAGUGAGUUUCUCUGGUUUGUAGCCGGAUGGGCCCUUGCUAAGUUAUUACCCAUGGCAUAUAGGGUACUCAACUAUGAUUGCGUUUGCUGAAAUAUGACAAUAGUCACCUAAUCAACCAGUGUUUAGAACACCUCCUAGGUAGGUGUGAUAGGCAGGGGGCUGAGCCAUAGUCCUUGAUCUAAAGAUGGUUUUGUGUAUCAUUCACGUGAAAGCUAGGUUUGGGAAGUAAGAUUGACACAGACAAAACCAGGAACAAAUGCAUUGACAUGACAAAAUCAAGGGUUCGGCUGGGUGAGCUAAUUCUAAGGGCAUUGUGAGUCCAGACAAGGGAGUAUAAGGAUUUCUUCAGGGAAGUAAAGCACUUAAAUUUCAUCUUGAAAGGACCGUCAGGAUUUGAAUGGAUUGAAAUGAGUGGGGAGGCUUGGGGAAGAGAUGGUUGCCAAAUGGGGAGGACUGGCAGCUACUGGGGAGCUGCGGAUGCACAGGAAGGGCAGUGAAGGGCGUGCAGAGCACGAGGAGAGGGUUACCGGAAUGUGGCCUGCCCAGACAUUGGAGGAAGCCUCAUCCAGGUUUUUAAAAUUGCUCCUUUACCCUCUCAUCUGCGAUUCCUUCUUUAGCCA
Long non-coding RNA from Zalophus californianus (California sea lion), 767 nucleotides. RefSeq lists it as uncharacterized. NCBI's taxonomy places the organism in Eukaryota, Metazoa, Chordata, Mammalia, Carnivora, Otariidae. The record is from RefSeq and is a predicted model, not a curated record. The transcript has 3 exons.